GGGGAUACAGCUCAGUUGGUAGAAUGCUUGCCUUUCAUGCAGAAGGUCUGGGUUCAAUCCCUAGCACCACCA
This 72-nucleotide transfer RNA is filed under the name Ictidomys tridecemlineatus (thirteen-lined ground squirrel). RNAcentral's name for it is "Spermophilus tridecemlineatus (thirteen-lined ground squirrel) tRNA". It matches the Rfam family "tRNA". From Rfam's summary of the family: Transfer RNA (tRNA) molecules are approximately 80 nucleotides in length. Their secondary structure includes four short double-helical elements and three loops (D, anti-codon, and T loops). Further hydrogen bonds mediate the characteristic L-shaped molecular structure. tRNAs have two regions of fundamental functional importance: the anti-codon, which is responsible for specific mRNA codon recognition, and the 3' end, to which the tRNAs corresponding amino acid is attached (by aminoacyl-tRNA synthetases). tRNAs cope with the degeneracy of the genetic code in two manners: having more than one tRNA (with a specific anti-codon) for a particular amino acid; and 'wobble' base-pairing, i.e. permitting non-standard base-pairing at the 3rd anti-codon position. Lineage: Eukaryota; Metazoa; Chordata; Mammalia; Rodentia; Sciuridae. The record is from Rfam by way of RNAcentral.